RNAcentral lists this ribosomal RNA (562 nucleotides) under Micrococcus luteus. RNAcentral describes it as "bacterial LSU rRNA". It matches the Rfam family "Bacterial large subunit ribosomal RNA", at positions 252 to 771 of the family's 2925-position model. Lineage: Bacteria; Bacillati; Actinomycetota; Actinomycetes; Micrococcales; Micrococcaceae. The record is from RNAcentral.
AGCGAACGCGGAUGGGGCUAAACCGUAUGUGUGUGAUACCCGGCAGGGGUUGCAUGUGCGGUGUUGUGGGCCCCUCCUUGUCAUGUCUGCCGGCAUGGCGCAGUGAGGUGCGGGCAUAUAGACGAACCAGUGUGGAUGCUGGACCGUAGAGGGUGAGAGUCCCGUAGUCGAAAUGUGUUCCGCCGCUGUUGGAGGGUUGCCCGAGUAGCACGGGGCCCGAGGAAUCCCGUGUGAAUCUGCCAGGACCACCUGGUAAGCCUGAAUACUACCUGUUGACCGAUAGCGGAUCAGUACCGUGAGGGAAUGGUGAAAAGUACCCCGGGAGGGGAGUGAAAUAGUACCUGAAACCAUGUGCCUACAAACCGUUGGAGCCUCCUUGUGGGGUGACAGCGUGCCUUUUGAAGAAUGAGCCUGCGAGUUAGUGAUACGUGGCGAGGUUAACCCGUGUGGGGAAGCCGUAGCGAAAGCGAGUCUGAAUAGGGCGAUUGAGUCGCGUGUCCUAGACCCGAAGCGGAGUGAUCUACCCAUGGCCAGGUUGAAGCGCGUGUAAGAACGCGUGGAG